Molecule: long non-coding RNA, 906 nt
Filed under: Neogale vison (American mink)
Lineage: Eukaryota; Metazoa; Chordata; Mammalia; Carnivora; Mustelidae
Description: Neovison vison (American mink) lncRNA (ENSNVIG00000012905.1)
Source: RNAcentral
GGAUUUGACCGCCUGACCUCACCCCGGAGACCCUGACAAGUGGGACUGCUCUCCUACCCUCCAGGGUAUUGUUCUCAUCUGCCGUAAGUCUGGUUAUCACCACAGUUUCCCCCAGGGGAAGGAGGAAGAGCAGAAAGGCCACCCAGGUAGUAUGAUAAGGUAUGGCCUGGAGGUGGCACAGGGGCUUUCUUUUUGCAUUUCAUCACGAGCUUUGAGUCACAUGUUUACUCAUGCUACUUGAGCCAGAGAGAAAGAGAAACUCUGCCUGAGGGAUCUACUAUGCUUUUAGUUCGUUGUUCCUUUGAGACACGGAUUCCGGAUUCCAGAGGACAAUAGUAGCUGAUACUAUUUCAAGCUGCUGGGACAGAGAAACUCCAUUAAUCUCUGGAACAUCUUCCUGAAGCGGUAGUCAGGGAAAGGAUCCUGUUCUCCAAGAGAAUUCUUUUGCAUUCUGCAAAGUUGUGAGAUGGGUGAAGUCAAUAGACAUCAACUCUAACCCCAUUAUCUCAUACUCCAGCGGUAAGUGGUUCUCCUUGAUGCCUUUGUUCUCUAUUAAAGUAUCCCACCCAGAACCUUCUGGUUUUGUGUGGACUUCUCAUUUUAUUCUUUCAGUUAUUAUAAACAUGUAGCUGGUAAGUAUUUCUUAGAACCUGGAGCUGUCAUGUUCAAAAUUUCAACCCCUUUAUAUUCCAGAGGACCAGUUAAAGCUCCCAAAGAAUUGAGACUCUCUCUUAAAUUCUCAAAUAUUUUCUUGCUAGUACUAUAAUGAAAUUAAACUUCAGAUUCUGUGGUUUUGUUUCUCUUUUUAAUGCACAACCUGUCUUUUGUUCCUGUCCUUGCAAAGAGUUCUUAGUGGCAUUAACAAGUGAGAGCUGACAGCAUUCCACUGUUAUCUCUCCUAAUAGA